GUCUGGUAGACACGGAUGCCGCAUGGGCGUCUGGUAGACACGGAUGCCGCAUGGGCGUCUGGUAGACACGGAUGCCAUAUGGGGGUCUAAUGGACACAGAUGCCAUAUGGGUGUCUGGUAGACACGGAUGCCACAUGGGCGUCUGGUAGACACGGAUGCCAUAUGGGCGUCUGGUAGACACGGAUGCCACAUACGGCGUCUGGUAGACACGGAUGCCACAUGGGCGUCUGGUAGACACGGAUGCCACAUGGGCGUCUGGUAGACACGGAUGCCACAUGGGCGUCUGGUAGACACGGAUGCCAUAUGGGGGUCUAAUGGACACAGAUGCCAUAUGGGUGUCUGGUAGACACGGAUGCCACAUGGGCGUCUGGUAGACACGGAUGCCACAUACGGGUCUAGUAGGACAGCGGGACCCGCAGGGAGCGUGGUGACAGAGACCGUGGUGACCGGGACCGUGUGCAGGGACCUGCCCUCCUGCUGCUGCAUAAACGUUCGGGGGUUGGGGGGCUCCAGAACGGGGGCACCAGGUGCUCAGGAAGACCCGGCGGAGCCUUCGCCUCCCAGGCCCAGGGGCUGUCCUCUUUGUCAGCCGGGGGUCAUCACAGCCAGGGGGCUCUCCCCCGCCAGAGCCAGAGUCCAGAACGUGCUCCAGAAGCCGCGACAUGUCUGGUGCCCCGGGACUGUCUCUGGUGUCCGCAGCUCUCGUUUGGGGAGAAAAGGAUUUCUCUGCUGAAUGCUCUUCCCCCACAUUAAAAUCCAGGCUGUUGAUCUGAUUCUUAGCACCAUGAUUUUAUACACUGUGUUUUCUUAAAAGAGAAAAAAGGGAUUUUUGUAUCCUGAAAAAAAGCAUCAUCUUGCUUUUGUAAAAUCUAUAAAAGAGCCUGUGAUUUCUUUUUUGUUCCGCAUGGUUUAUUGAGCUAUGAGGCUGGAGUUUCUUUCUGACAGUUUAAUAUCGAGUGACAGCCGAGGCUGCCUCUGAGAGAUGCUCUUUCUGAACAAAUGAAAAAAUACACUUUUCCAGAUUUAGAUAAAGGUGAAGGUUGUUUGGGG
Molecule: long non-coding RNA, 1050 nt
Filed under: Homo sapiens (human)
Lineage: Eukaryota; Metazoa; Chordata; Mammalia; Primates; Hominidae
Description: HSALNT0360794
Source: RNAcentral